RNAcentral lists this ribosomal RNA (811 nucleotides) under uncultured Pseudomonadota bacterium. RNAcentral describes it as "bacterial SSU rRNA". It matches the Rfam family "Bacterial small subunit ribosomal RNA", at positions 60 to 899 of the family's 1533-position model. The record is from RNAcentral. Lineage: Bacteria; Pseudomonadati; Pseudomonadota.
AGCCGCACGAGAAAGUGGAGCAAUCCAUGAGUAAAGUGGCGCACGGGUGAGUAACACGUGAAUUAUCUACCUCCGAGUGGGGAAUAACUGAGAGAAAUCUUAGCUAAUACCGCAUAACACUUACGAGUCAAAGCAGCAAUGCGCUUGGAGAGGAGUUCGCGGCCGAUUAGUUAGUUGGCGGGGUAAUGGCCCACCAAGACGAUGAUCGGUAUCCGGCCUGAGAGGGCGCACGGACACACUGGAACUGAAACACGGUCCAGACUCCUACGGGAGGCAGCAGUGGGGAAUUUUGCGCAAUGGGGGAAACCCUGACGCAGCAACGCCGCGUGGAGGAUGAAAUAUCUUGGUAUGUAAACUCCUUUCGAUGGGGAAGAUUAUGACGGUACCCAUAGAAGAAGCCCCGGCUAACUUCGUGCCAGCAGCCGCGGUAAUACGAGGGGGGCAAGCGUUGUUCGGAUUUAUUGGGCGUAAAGGGUGCGUAGGCGGUUUGGCAAGUCUUGUGUGAAAUCUUCGGGCUCAACCCGAAGCCUGCACAAGAAACUGCCGGGCUUGAGUAUGGGAGAGGUGAGUGGAAUUUCCGGUGUAGCGGUGAAAUGCGUAGAUAUCGGAAGGAACACCUGUGGCGAAAGCGGCUCACUGGGACCAUAACUGACGCUGAUGCACGAAAGCUAGGGGAGCAAACAGGAUUAGAUACCCUGGUUAGUCCUAGCCCUAAACGAUGAAUUGCUUGAUGUGGCAGGUACCCAAUCCUGCCGUGUCGAAGCUAACGCGAUAAGCAUCCCCCCUGGGGAGUACGGUCGCAAGGCUGAAA